UACGUAGGGUGCAAGCGUUAAUCGGAAUUACUGGGCGUAAAGCGUGUGCAGGCGGUGAUGUAAGACAGUUGUGAAAUCCCCGGGCUCAACCUGGGAACUGCAUCUGUGACUGCAUCGCUGGAGUGCGGCAGAGGGGGAUGGAAUUCCGCGUGUAGCAGUGAAAUGCGUAGAUAUGCGGAGGAACACCGAUGGCGAAGGCAAUCCCCUGGGCCUGCACUGACGCUCAUGCACGAAAGCGUGGGGAGCAAACAGG
This 253-nucleotide ribosomal RNA is filed under the name uncultured bacterium. Its description in RNAcentral is "partial 16S ribosomal RNA". It matches the Rfam family "Bacterial small subunit ribosomal RNA", at positions 524 to 776 of the family's 1533-position model. The record is from RNAcentral.